Molecule: long non-coding RNA, 396 nt
Organism: Acyrthosiphon pisum (pea aphid)
Lineage: Eukaryota; Metazoa; Arthropoda; Insecta; Hemiptera; Aphididae
Exons: 3
Source: RefSeq, a predicted model, not a curated record
AUCACGCCACCAAGCCGCUUUUCAUUUAUCGAAAAUCCACAAUGUAUAAAAGGACGUACUGGUGCUCUAUUCAAGCAUAACACAAUAUUUGUGCAAAUAUAAUCUUCAUUUUCACAUUAACCCUCAAAAAACCAACCAAAAACCAAAAAUGGGCGCUGAAAAAGUAACCAUGAACAUUGUCGUCGUCGGACAAGUCCAAUCUGCCAAGGCCAUCAAAUCGGUCGCCAAAGCCACCCCAGCCACCAGCCAAUUAGUUAACUGUUAAUUCAUGAUAUCCAUAUCAAUCUCAAACUAAAAAAUGCCAUAGCCCAAACAGUACAUGAUUUUAUAAUUUGUUCUUAAUUGCAAUAAUGUGUAUUGACAUCGCAAAAUAAAUCAGUCACUUCCGUCAAACAA